Molecule: long non-coding RNA, 529 nt
Filed under: Spirodela polyrhiza (greater duckweed)
Lineage: Eukaryota; Viridiplantae; Streptophyta; Magnoliopsida; Alismatales; Araceae
Description: long non-coding RNA (SPOL_LNC001133)
Source: RNAcentral
CGCGUGUUUGUUGAGUUUCUAAUGGGCACACCCCGGUGUUAAUAUUAACUCCUUGGCCUGAACCAGAAGGAUAAGGCGUCUCUCUGGGAGUCUUGGACAAGAAGAGAGAGAGAGAGAGAGAGAGAGAGAGAGAGAGAAAGAGAGAGAUGAACUAAUAAAAGGGAACCAGAUGAUACAAUGGCCCCCUCCUCGUCUUUCCUCACAUGGUAAUUUAUCCUAAGUUUUUGGGGCAGCGUUGCCUCCGUGGCUCGGGCCUGAAGGAGGCACGCGCCGCCCUCUCACCGUCACAUAAUGGACGUCCUUCGUCCCAUGCAAAUCCGCGGCCGGCAGAACCCCGGCCACUGUCGCUCCACUGGCGGCGAUGGGAUCAACGGCGGGGGUCUUCCUCGCCAAGGCGAAUUCAGCGGCAGUCAAGACAAGAACAAACGUUACCCAGAGCCGAAGAGCCAUAGAGGAAGGAGCUGACGUUCUGUAUGGGGGCGAUGGGAGCUAUAGAGCAAGGUGGGCUUCGGCUCUGAGUCUUCCUCCA